CCUACGGGACGCACCAGUGGGGAAUAUUGCACAAUGGGCGCAAGCCUGAUGCAGCCACGCCGCGUGUAUGAAGAAGGCCUUCGGGUUGUAAAGUACUUUCAGCGGGGAGGAAGGCGAUAAGGUUAAUAACCUUGUCGAUUGACGUUACCCGCAGAAGAAGCACCGGCUAACUCCGUGCCAGCAGCCGCGCUAAUAGGGAGGGUGCAAGCGUUAAUCGGAAUUACUGAGCGUAAAGCGCACGCAGGCGGUCUGUCAAGUCGGAUGUGAAAUCCCCGGGCUCAACCUGGGAACUGCAAUCGAAACUGGCAGGCUAGAGUCUUGUAGAGGGGGGUAGAAUUCCAGGUGUAGCGGUGAAAUGCGUAGAGAUCUGGAGGAAUACCGGUGGCGAAGGCGGCCCCCUGGACAAAGACAGACGCUCAGGUGCGGAAGCGUGGGGAGCAAACAGGAUUAGAUACCCUUGUAGUC
RNAcentral lists this ribosomal RNA (465 nucleotides) under uncultured bacterium. RNAcentral describes it as "bacterial SSU rRNA". It matches the Rfam family "Bacterial small subunit ribosomal RNA", at positions 338 to 795 of the family's 1533-position model. The record is from RNAcentral.